UGGGCCCAGAAAUGCCUGGGAG
RNAcentral lists this non-coding RNA (22 nucleotides) under Rattus norvegicus (Norway rat). The record is from RNAcentral. Lineage: Eukaryota; Metazoa; Chordata; Mammalia; Rodentia; Muridae.